This 309-nucleotide ribosomal RNA is filed under the name Shouchella rhizosphaerae. RNAcentral describes it as "partial 23S ribosomal RNA". It matches the Rfam family "Bacterial large subunit ribosomal RNA", at positions 1072 to 1384 of the family's 2925-position model. The record is from RNAcentral. Lineage: Bacteria; Bacillati; Bacillota; Bacilli; Caryophanales; Bacillaceae.
GAUGUGGAGUUGCCCAGACAACCAGGAUGUUGGCUUAGAAGCAGCCAUCAUUGAAAGAGUGCGUAAUAGCUCACUGGUCGAGUGACUCUGCGCCGAAAAUGUACCGGGGCUAAACGUAUCACCGAAGCUAUGGCAAUCCCGUAAGGGAUUGGGUAGGGGAGCGUUCCAAGGACAGCGAAGCUAGAUCGUGAGGACUAGUGGAGUGCUUGGAAGUGAGAAUGCCGGUAUGAGUAGCGAAAAGAUAGGUGAGAAUCCUAUCCGUCGAAAGCCCAAGGUUUCCUGAGGAAGGCUCGUCCGCUCAGGGUUAGU